UACGUAGGGGGCAAGCGUUGUCCGGAAUCAUUGGGCGUAAAGCGCACGUAGGCGGAUCGUUAAGUCGGGGGUGAAAUCCUGGAGCUCAACUCCAGAACUGCCUUCGAUACUGGCGAUCUCGAGUCCGGAAGAGGUGAGUGGAACUCCUAGUGUAGAGGUGGAAUUCGUAGAUAUUAGGAAGAACACCAGUGGCGAAGGCGGCUCACUGGUCCGGUACUGACGCUGAGGUGCGAAAGCGUGGGGAGCAAACAGG
Molecule: ribosomal RNA, 253 nt
Filed under: uncultured bacterium
Lineage: Bacteria
Description: partial 16S ribosomal RNA
Rfam family: Bacterial small subunit ribosomal RNA
Source: RNAcentral